UACGGAGGGUGCAAGCGUUGUUCGGAAUUAUUGGGCGUAAAGCGCGUGUAGGCGGCUUUCUAAGUCUGGUGUGAAAUCCCGGAGCUUAACUCCGGAACUGCACUGGAUACUGGAAAGCUAGAGGGCGAGAGAGGAUGGUGGAAUUCCUGGUGUAGGGGUGAAAUCCGUAGAUAUCAGGAGGAACAUCAGUGGCGAAGGCGGCCAUCUGGCUCGCACCUGACGCUGAGACGCGAAAGCGUGGGGAGCAAACAGGAUUAGAUACCCUGGUAGUCCACGCCCUAAACGAUGGAUACUAGACGUUGGGGAGCCUAAUCUCCUCGGUGUCGUAGCUAACGCAUUAAGUAUCCCGCCUGGGAAGUACGGUCGCAAGAUUAAA
RNAcentral lists this ribosomal RNA (376 nucleotides) under uncultured bacterium. RNAcentral describes it as "bacterial SSU rRNA". It matches the Rfam family "Bacterial small subunit ribosomal RNA", at positions 524 to 898 of the family's 1533-position model. The record is from RNAcentral.